ACGGUAUGCCUUACACAUGCAAGUCGAACGGAAAGGUCUCUUCGGAGAUACUCAAGUGGCGGACGGGUGAGUAACACGUAGGAAUCUGCCCCAGAGUGGGGGACAACCAAGGGAAACCUUGGCUAAUACCCCAUAUGGCGUGAGCUGAAAGUUUUUUCGCUCUGGGAGGAGCCUGCGCUUGAUUAGCUAGUUGGUGAGGUAAUAGCUCACCAAGGCGACGAUCAAUAGCUGGUCUGAGAAGAUGACCAGCCACAAUGGGACUGAGAUACGGCCCAUACUCCUACGGGAGGCAGCAGUGGGGAAUUUUGCGCAAUGGACGAAAGUCUGACGCAGCAAUACCGUGUGUGGGAUGACGCCUCGUGGGGUGUAAACCACUGUCAGAAUGGAAAAAUUUGAUUGUACAUUCAAAGGAAGCACCGGCUAAUUCCGUGCCAGCAGCCGCGGUAAUACGGAAGGUGCAAGCGUUGUCCGGAUUUAUUGGGCGUAAAGAGUUUGUAGGCGGUUUUGUAAGUCUGAAGUGAAAUAAUGGAGCUCAACUCCAUACACGCUUUUGAAACUACAGAACUAGAGAAUGUUAGGGGUGAGUGGAAUUUCCAGUGUAGCGGUGAAAUGCGUAGAUAUUGGAAAGAACACCGGAGGCGAAGGCGGCUCACUGGGACAUUUCUGACGCUGAGAAACGAAAGCUAGGGGAGCGAAAGGGAUUAGAUACCCCUGUAGUCCUAGCCGUAAACGAUGAAUACUAGAUGUCAUGGGAAUCGACCCCUGUGGUAUCGUAGCUAACGCAUUAAGUAUUCCGCCUGGGAAGUAUGCACGCAAGUGUGAAACUCAAAGGAAUUGACGGGGACCCGCACAAGCGGUGGAACAUGUGGUUUAAUUCGAUGCAACGCGAAAAACCUUACCAGGCCUUGACAUCUGUAGAAUCGAGUGGAGACAUUCGAGUGCCUUCGGGAGCUACAAGACAGGUGCUGCACGGCUGUCGUCAGCUCGUGUCGUGAGAUGUUGGGUUAAGUCCCGCAACGAGCGCAACCCACGUUGUUAGUUGCCAUCAUUUAGUUGGGCACUCUAGCAAGACUGCCGGUGUUAAACCGGAGGAAGGUGUGGACGACGUCAAGUCAUCAUGGCCCUUAUGGCCUGGGCUACACACGUGUUACAAUGGCCAUUACAACGAGUCGCUACUUAGUGAUAAGAUGCUAAUCUCUCAAAAAUGGUCUCAGUUCGGAUUGCAGGCUGCAACUCGCCUGCAUGAAGUCGGAAUCGCUAGUAAAC
RNAcentral lists this ribosomal RNA (1266 nucleotides) under uncultured cyanobacterium. RNAcentral describes it as "bacterial SSU rRNA". It matches the Rfam family "Bacterial small subunit ribosomal RNA", at positions 39 to 1343 of the family's 1533-position model. The record is from RNAcentral. Lineage: Bacteria; Bacillati; Cyanobacteriota.